UCUAGUAGCUGGUUCCCUCCGAAGUUUCCCUCAGGAUAGCUGGUGCAUUUUAAUAUUAUAUAAAAUAAUCUUAUCUGGUAAAGCGAAUGAUUAGAGGCCUUAGGGUCGAAACGAUCUUAACCUAUUCUCAAACUUUAAAUGGGUAAGAACCUCACCUUUCUUGAUAUGAAGGUUGAGGUUAUGAUAUAAUGUGCCCAGUGGGCCACUUUUGGUAAGCAGAACUGGCGCUGUGGGAUGAACCAAACGUAAUGUUACGGUGCCCAAAUUAACAACUCAUACAGAUACCAUGAAAGGCGUUGGUUGCUUAAAACAGCAGGACGGUGGACAUGGAAGUCGUAAUCCGCUAAGGAGUGUGUAACAACUCACCUGCCGAAGCAACUAGCCCUUAAAAUGGAUGGCGCUUAAGUUGUAUACCUAUACAUUACCGCUAAAGUAUAUGAUUUAUAUUCAAUUUCGGUUGAAUUUAUAAAUUUUGAAACUUUAGUGAGUAGGAGGGUACAAUGGUGUGCUUAGAAGUGUUUGGCGUAAGCCUGCAUGGAGCCGCCAUUGGUACAGAUCUUGGUGGUAGUAGCAAAUAAUCGAAUGAGACCUUGGAGGACUGAAGUGGAGAAGGGUUUCGUGUGAACAGUGGUUGAUCACGAGUUAGUCGGUCCUAAGUUCAAGGCGAAAGCUGAAAAUUUUCAAGUUUUAAUAAAAUUUUUAAAUUAAUUAUUAUUAUUAAUACACUUGAAUAAUUUUGAACGAAAGGGAAUACGGUUCCAAUUCCGUAACCUGUUGAGUAUCCGUUUGUUAUUAAAAAUGGGCCUUGUGCUCAUCCUGGCAACAGGAACGACCAUAAAGAAGCCGUCGAGAGAUAUCGGAAGAGUUUUCUUUUCUGUUUUAUAGUCGUACUACCAUGGAAGUCUUUCGAAGAGAGAUAUGGUAGAUGGACUAGAAGAGCAUGACAUUUACUGUUGUGUCGAUAUUUUCUCCUCGGACCUUGAAAAUUUAUGGUGGGGUCACGCAAACUUCUCAACAGGCCGUACCGAUAU
Molecule: ribosomal RNA, 1031 nt
Filed under: Delphinia picta
Lineage: Eukaryota; Metazoa; Arthropoda; Insecta; Diptera; Ulidiidae
Description: eukaryotic LSU rRNA
Rfam family: Eukaryotic large subunit ribosomal RNA
Source: RNAcentral